GCAAACAUUGUUAAAGUAUAAAAAGAUUCUAGUAUUAUUCAAAGAUACUUUUUAUCUUUCUCUAUACAAUUUUUUCCUUGACUAACGUGGAACCAUCUAACAGGUGAAGAGUCUUUUGAAGACCUGACCGAAGAAAGCAAAACACUGGCCUGGAAUAACAUCACCAAACUGCAGUUACACGAGCACUAUAAAAUCCACAAAGAAGCAGUUACUGGAAUCACGGUCUCUCGCAAUGGAUCUUCAGUAUUCACAACAUCCCAAGAUUCCACCUUGAAGAUGUUUUCUAAAGAAUCAAAAAUGCUACAAAGAAGUAUAUCAUUUUCAAAUAUGGCUUUAUCGUCUUGUUUACUUUUACCAGGAGAUGCCACUGUCAUAACUUCUUCAUGGGAUAAUAAUGUCUAUUUUUAUUCCAUAGCAUUUGGAAGACGCCAGGACACGUUAAUGGGACAUGAUGAUGCUGUUAGUAAGAUCUGUUGGCAUGACAACAGGCUAUAUUCUGCAUCGUGGGACUCUACAGUGAAGGUGUGGUCUGGUGUUCCUGCAGAGAUGCCAGGCACCAAAAGACACCACUUUGA
This 575-nucleotide long non-coding RNA is filed under the name Homo sapiens (human). Its description in RNAcentral is "non-protein coding lnc-CYP7A1-6:1". Lineage: Eukaryota; Metazoa; Chordata; Mammalia; Primates; Hominidae. The record is from RNAcentral.